GUAGGUGAACCUGCGGAAGGAUCAUUAUUGAAUCUUUUUUCAAAAAAAACAAAAAACCAAAAAAGAACAAAGAAAGAAAAAGAAAAAGAAAAAGAAAUGGAAACAAGAAGGAAAAAGAAAACACUCGGUUUUUUGCUUUGUGCUUUCUUUUUUUUUGUUGCUUCAAGUUUUUGGAUGUUCUCUUUUUCUUUGUUUGUUCUUUUUUGCCCACUGUGCACAUUUCCCUCUUUUUUCUUUUGGUUCUGUUUGC
Molecule: unclassified non-coding RNA, 250 nt
Filed under: plant metagenome
Description: partial contains small subunit ribosomal RNA, internal transcribed spacer 1, and 5.8S ribosomal RNA
Source: RNAcentral